UUUUUAUAUGAACGGAUAAGUAAAUUGAAUUCACAACUUAUGAAUCACAACUGGAUGUAAUCAAAUCAUUGCAAGUAUGAACAUGGUUUCGAAUCACCCCCUAACUAAGAGGGGUUUAGUUCCUCAUACUCACAAAGAAAAGAUACAUAAAAUUAGACAUUAAAAUCAAAGGAAAGAAACACCUAAAAUGCUCCAACUUGGGUAGCAAGUGCAU
Molecule: long non-coding RNA, 214 nt
Filed under: Malus domestica (apple)
Lineage: Eukaryota; Viridiplantae; Streptophyta; Magnoliopsida; Rosales; Rosaceae
Description: long non-coding RNA (MDOM_LNC018499)
Source: RNAcentral